Molecule: transfer RNA, 75 nt
Filed under: Deltaproteobacteria bacterium
Lineage: Bacteria; Pseudomonadati; Myxococcota; Myxococcia
Also listed under: 3 other names
Description: tRNA-Val
Rfam family: tRNA
About the family: Transfer RNA (tRNA) molecules are approximately 80 nucleotides in length.
Source: RNAcentral
AGGCACGUAGCUCAGGGGGAGAGCGCUACCCUGACACGGUAGAAGUCGCUGGUUCAAAUCCAGUCGUGCCUACCA